This 331-nucleotide unclassified non-coding RNA is filed under the name soil metagenome. RNAcentral describes it as "partial contains 5.8S ribosomal RNA, internal transcribed spacer 2, and large subunit ribosomal RNA". The stretch from base 1 to 120 matches the Rfam family "5.8S ribosomal RNA", at positions 35 to 154 of the family's 154-position model. The record is from RNAcentral.
GAUGAAGAACGCAGCGAAAUGCGAUAAGUAGUGUGAAUUGCAGAAUUCAGUGAAUCAUCGAAUCUUUGAACGCACAUUGCGCCCCUUGGUAUCCCGAGGGGCAUGCCUGUUCGAGCGUCAUUUCACCACUCAAGCCUCGCUUGGUAUUGGGCAACGCGGUCCGCCGCGUGCCUCAAAUCGACCGGCUGGGUCUUCUGUCCCCUAAGCGUUGUGGAAACUAUUCGCUAAAGGGUGCUCGGGAGGCUACGCCGUAAAACAAACCCAUUUCUAAGGUUGACCUCGGAUCAGGUAGGGAUACCCGCUGAACUUAAGCAUAUCAAUAAGCGGAGGA